Molecule: long non-coding RNA, 858 nt
Filed under: Homo sapiens (human)
Lineage: Eukaryota; Metazoa; Chordata; Mammalia; Primates; Hominidae
Description: HSALNT0303658
Source: RNAcentral
GGCAGUUUCCAUGGCAACGCCUCCAUGCCUGCCGUAGCAGCUACGUGCUGCCUGGCAUGUGCACUCUGCCAGGUCCCUGGAGGGCACUGCUGUCUCUCACUUGCUCAGGGUUCAGGAGUUGUUAAUCCCGGAUUCAGAUAAUAAUAUCCAAAGGCAAUCAGGGGACAUUGAACCAGCUGGAGCUGAAGGCUCCUCUCUGUGGGCCUUGGAAGGAGGGGCCUCUGCAUUCCUCCGCCUGCCAUAGGCUGGGCCUGCAGCAAGUGCUCAACUACAGUGGGAAGAAUGGCUGAGUGAAGGAGAGACCCUCCCAGACUACAGUAAGUUCCUCUGCUGAUAGAGAUGCAAACAAAUAACAAAGAAGGAGGAGGAGAAUCAAUAUGGAUUGGUUCACAGGACCCACAGCAGAGGGACAGCUGGGUCUUUGAGUGAAGAGCUAAACAGUGGUGAUGUCUGAAUGGUCUUGAGUUUUCAGGAGCAUCUUUCAUUCUAAAGAAGCAACCCUUGAUGGGCUCCUGGACAGCUUCAGGGUGGAAGCCGGUCACCAAAAAGCCCAAGCCGUGAUUAGAAGCUUGGAACUUUCAGCCACACCCCACCCCUAUCCUCCAGGAAAGAAGAGGGGCUAGAGGUUGAAUUAAUAACCAUUCAUGCCUUCUUGAUUAAGCCUAAUAAAAGUCGCCAAAGUACAGGGUUCAGAGACCUGGGUUGGUGAACACAUCUAUGUGCCAGGAAGGUGGUGUGCCCUGACUCACUGGAGACAGAAGCUCCUGCAAUCAGACCCUUCCAGACCUCACCCUGUGUACCUCUUCAUUUGCCUGUUCAUCUGUAUUCAUUAUCAUAUCCUUUAUAAUAAGCCAAUAA